CAAAAAUUUAAUUCUAAUUUUUCUAGUUUUGUUAUAGUAUAUGUAAGAUAUUAGUAAGUUUUGCAGUGCUUUGUUUUAUACAAUAAUUAUUGAUAUUGAUAGAGAGUAAAAUAUGAUAAAUUUGUGCCAGCAUCAGCGGUUAUACAAAUUAUUUAAAUUUAUUAUUAUUAUUUUAAUGUUUAUGUUUAUUAAUGAUUAAAAGUAAAAGGUGAAAUUUUUUUUUAAUUAAAUACAUAUUAGUGAUAAAGUAUUUAAUGGAUAAAACUAGGAUUAGAUACCCUAUUAUUGUUAUUUAUAUAUUGUUUAGUAGUACAGUUUUGGAAACUUAAGGAAUUUGAUGGUAGUUUUAUUCUACUUAGAGGAACUUGUAUGUUAAUCGAUAAUACCCGUUUAAUUGAUUUGAGUUGAUGGUUUGUAUAUCAUUGUUGUAAGAAGUUUAUUUUUUAAUUUUUAAAUUUUAUUAUAUAGCAAAUCAAGGUGCAGUUUAUGUUCAAAGUUAAUAUGAGUUACAUUAAUUUUAAUAAUUAGAUUAGUUAUGAAAAAAAUAUGACAUUGGAUUUAAUUGUAAUUUGUUGAAAUUGAUACUAUGAAAAGGAACUAAAUUGUUUACAUAUUGCCCGUCACUCUCGAUAUUUAUUUUUGAGAAAAGUCGUAACAUAGUAGGUGUAUCGGAAGAUGUAUCUGGAUU
RNAcentral lists this non-coding RNA (688 nucleotides) under Glomeridesmus spelaeus. The record is from RNAcentral. Lineage: Eukaryota; Metazoa; Arthropoda; Diplopoda; Glomeridesmida; Glomeridesmidae.